UUCUUGUAGUUAAGGCGUCUUUAACGGCAGCUUUUCGGGCUGCAAA
RNAcentral lists this transfer RNA (46 nucleotides) under Aceros nipalensis (Rufous-necked hornbill). RNAcentral describes it as "partial tRNA-Glu". The record is from RNAcentral. Lineage: Eukaryota; Metazoa; Chordata; Aves; Bucerotiformes; Bucerotidae.